RNAcentral lists this ribosomal RNA (233 nucleotides) under uncultured bacterium. RNAcentral's name for it is "partial 16S ribosomal RNA". It matches the Rfam family "Bacterial small subunit ribosomal RNA", at positions 100 to 334 of the family's 1533-position model. The record is from RNAcentral.
CGGGACGGGUGAGUAAUGUCUGGGAAACUGCCUGAUGGAGGGGGAUAACUACUGGAAACGGUAGCUAAUACCGCAUAACGUCGCAAGACCAAAGAGGGGGACCUUCGGGCCUCUUGCCAUCGGAUGUGCCCAGAUGGGAUUAGCUAGUAGGUGGGGUAACGGCUCACCUAGGCGACGAUCCCUAGCUGGUCUGAGAGGAUGACCAGCCACACUGGAACUGAGACGCGGUCCAG